Molecule: long non-coding RNA, 192 nt
Organism: Mastomys coucha (southern multimammate mouse)
Lineage: Eukaryota; Metazoa; Chordata; Mammalia; Rodentia; Muridae
Exons: 2
Source: RefSeq, a predicted model, not a curated record
GGGGAACAGAACAUUCACAGGGGGCAGACUCUGGGUAAAGAGUAGAAGCAAGCAAGUGCCCAUCAACAAAUGACUGAAAAACAAAAUGUGACAGAUACAGUCACACAGUGGAGUAUUAGUCUACCUUAAACACAUGACAACAUGGAUGAGCCUUAAGGACAACACACUAAGUAAAAUAAGCCAGUCACAAAU